RNAcentral lists this ribosomal RNA (468 nucleotides) under uncultured bacterium. RNAcentral's name for it is "partial 16S ribosomal RNA". It matches the Rfam family "Bacterial small subunit ribosomal RNA", at positions 28 to 507 of the family's 1533-position model. The record is from RNAcentral.
GACGAACGCUGACGGCGUGCUUAACACAUGCAAGUCGAACGGAAAGGCCCUGCUUUUGUGGGGUGCUCGAGUGGCGAACGGGUGAGUAACACGUGAGUAACCUGCCCUUGACUUUGGGAUAACUUCAGGAAACUGGGGCUAAUACCGGAUAGGAGCUCCUGCUGCAUGGUGGGGGUUGGAAAGUUUCGGCGGUUGGGGAUGGACUCGCGGCUUAUCAGCUUGUUGGUGGGGUAGUGGCUUACCAAGGCUUUGACGGGUAGCCGGCCUGAGAGGGUGACCGGCCACAUUGGGACUGAGAUACGGCCCAGACUCCUACGGGAGGCAGCAGUGGGGAAUAUUGCACAAUGGGCGGAAGCCUGAUGCAGCAACGCCGCGUGCGGGAUGACGGCCUUCGGGUUGUAAACCGCUUUCGCCUGUGACGAAGCGUGAGUGGCGGUAAUGGGUAAAGAAGCACCGGCUAACUACGUG